GACGUAGGGCGCGAGCGUUGUCCGGAUUUAUUGGGCGUAAAGAGCUCGUAGGUGGUUUGUCGCGUUGUUCGUGAAAACUCACAACUCAAUUGUGGGCGUGCGGGCGAUACGGGCAGACUGGAGUACUGCAGGGGAGACUGGAAUUCCUGGUGUAGCGGUGGAAUGCGCAGAUAUCAGGAAGAACACCCGUGGCGAAGGCGGUUCUCUGGGACGGUACUGACGCUGAGACGCGAAAGCGUGGGGAGCGAACAGG
This 253-nucleotide ribosomal RNA is filed under the name uncultured bacterium. Its description in RNAcentral is "partial 16S ribosomal RNA". It matches the Rfam family "Bacterial small subunit ribosomal RNA", at positions 524 to 776 of the family's 1533-position model. The record is from RNAcentral.